CUGGCUACACCCGCUCAGAAAAUGGGUUUCAUUGACAAGCCGAAGGUUUAAAGAUGAAUAUGUUGAGGGAGGAAUUUCCUUGACUGGAAGAUGGAUUUGGGUGGUGCUUGAUCUGCAAUGAAACUACAUUCUUUUGAAUUUGCCUUGACGAUGAUGACGGUGUGACUUCCUCCCUACUGGGAAAUUCACCAAUAAACCAUGACAUGAACAUCCUGCCUUCCACCAACACUCCUGGUAUCGCCCUUCUCUCCACCAUUUAAACUCCAGUCUAAAGAAGUCUGAUCCCCCCGCCCCUCCAAGCCUUUGGCAGCAUCUUCCACCAAGGAGUGCUUAGGAAUCCAGCCAGGGACCAGGACCCAGUUGUGCCAGGUGCUGUACAAACACAGAAGAAAAAGACAGUCCCUGUCUCCAAGAGAUAGCAAUUUGGCCUGCUUUUCACCUGGAGGACAACUGUUAGCUACGUGAAAAGAUCUGACGCUGAAGUGGACCCUGUGUUGUAAGAAGCAGAGCUAGGAGCCUCUUCAAAAACAAUGCAAAAAAAAGAAAAGAAAAGAAACCCCCUAGCACUUCUGGUUUGUGGUGUAGCUCUGCCCUUUUGUACACAGGAAGAGCACAGGGACUGCUAAUCUGGUCUGGCAGUGCUUCGUGCUGUAGACUGCAUGCUGUGGCCCUUUCUGGGACCUAUGAGCUUUAGGGAUGUGGGGUUGUUUAUUGAAUGUUUCAGGGCUAGAUUUUCAACGCAGCUGAACACCCAAGAGUUCCCAGUUAGGCCCAUUCUUCUUUCUUCUAGCUCUUAUAACAUGAGGUCUAUUUCAGCUUCAGAUCUCCGUUAAAGAAGUGUCCAGAUUCCAGUGUAGGCACCUAACUCUGAAGCAAGCAGCACCCAUGGAGAACAAUGGAGGAUCACCUCCCCUGUCCCUCCCACAACCCAGCUGAGAACAAUGGGAGCUGCUUGGUUGCUGGGCUGUUUUGAAAAUCUG
Long non-coding RNA from Mauremys reevesii (Reeves's turtle), 980 nucleotides. RefSeq lists it as uncharacterized. The record is from RefSeq and is a predicted model, not a curated record. Lineage: Eukaryota; Metazoa; Chordata; Testudines; Geoemydidae. The transcript has 4 exons.